This 492-nucleotide ribosomal RNA is filed under the name uncultured bacterium. Its description in RNAcentral is "partial 16S ribosomal RNA". It matches the Rfam family "Bacterial small subunit ribosomal RNA", at positions 30 to 507 of the family's 1533-position model. The record is from RNAcentral.
AUUGAACGCUGGCGGCAUGCUUUACACAUGCAAGUCGAGCGGACACACGCCUUGCUUUCCUGUCUAGUGGCGGACGGGGGCGUAAUGCAUCAACGCGUACCCACAGCUUAUGGAUAACGCAGCAAAACCUGUGCUAGUACCUCAUGUGAUCUGAUGAUUAAAACGGCGGACCUCACUACAAUAUUUCGCUUCUCCCCUCUCUUACAGCCGAUGUCGCAUUAGCUAGUUUGGGUGGUAAAGUCCUACCAAGGCAACGAUCCGUAGCUGGUCUGAGAGGACGAUCAGCCACACUGGAACUGAGACACGGCCCAGACUCCUACGGGAGGCAGCAGUGGGGAAUUUUGGACAAUGGGCGCAAGCCUGACCCAGCAAUGCCGCGUGAGUGAAGAAGGCCUUCGGGUUGUAAACCGCUGUUGGCAGGAAAGAAAAGGUGUCAGAUAAUCCCGGGACGUAAUGACGGUACCUGCAGAAAAAGCAACGGCUAACUACGUG